This 517-nucleotide ribosomal RNA is filed under the name uncultured bacterium. RNAcentral's name for it is "bacterial SSU rRNA". It matches the Rfam family "Bacterial small subunit ribosomal RNA", at positions 791 to 1304 of the family's 1533-position model. The record is from RNAcentral.
UAGUCCACGCCGUAAACGAUGAGCACUAGGAUUGGGGGGUCGCGAGACUUCUGAUCCGCAGCUAACGCAUUAAGUGCUCCGCCUGGGGAGUACGGCCGCAAGGCUAAAACUCAAAGGAAUUGACGGGGGGCCCGCACAAGCGGUGGAUCAUGUGGUUUAAUUCGAAGCAACGCGAAGAACCUUACCUGGGUUUGAAAUCCCACGAAUCCCUAAGAGAUUAGGGAGUGCCCUUCGGGGAAUGUGGAGACAGGCGCUGCAUGGCUGUCGUCAGCUCGUGUUGUGAAAUGUUGGGUUAAGUCUCGCAACGAGCGGAACCCCUGUCGUUAGUUGCCAGCAUUAAGUUGGGCACUCUAACGAGACCGCCGGGGUUAACCCGGAGGAAGGUGGGGAUGACGUCAAGUCCUCAUGGCCCUUAUGUCCAGGGCUACACACGUGAUACAAUGGUGGAUACAGCGGGAUGCGAACCAGCAAUGGGGGUGCAAAUCUCGGAAAAGUCCAUCUCAGUCCGGAUUGGAGU